GGUAUAGCUCAGUGGUAAAGCAUGGGCUUAGCAUGCAUGAGGUUCUGGGUUCGAUUCCCAGUACC
This 65-nucleotide transfer RNA is filed under the name Camelus bactrianus (Bactrian camel). It matches the Rfam family "tRNA". From Rfam's summary of the family: Transfer RNA (tRNA) molecules are approximately 80 nucleotides in length. The record is from Rfam by way of RNAcentral. RNAcentral also lists the same sequence under 1 other name. Lineage: Eukaryota; Metazoa; Chordata; Mammalia; Artiodactyla; Camelidae.